Molecule: ribosomal RNA, 582 nt
Filed under: uncultured bacterium
Lineage: Bacteria
Description: bacterial SSU rRNA
Rfam family: Bacterial small subunit ribosomal RNA
Source: RNAcentral
GAGUUUGAUCCAGGCUCAGGAUGAACGCUGGCGGCGUGCCUAACACAUGCAAGUCGAACGGAGUUACAGUGAAACCUAGUGAUCUGUAACUUAGUGGCGGACGGGUGAGUAACGCGUGGGUAACCUGCCUUGUACUGGGGGAUAACACCUGGAAACAGGUGCUAAUACCGCAUAAGCGCACAGAGCCGCAUGGCUCAGUGUGAAAAACUCCGGUGGUACAAGAUGGACCCGCGUCUGAUUAGCCAGUUGGGGGGGUAACGGCCCACCAAAGCGACGAUCAGUAGCCGGCCUGAGAGGGUGAACGGCCACAUUGGGACUGAGACACGGCCCAAACUCCUACGGGAGGCAGCAGUGGGGAAUAUUGCACAAUGGGGGAAACCCUGAUGCAGCAACGCCGCGUGAGUGAAGAAGUAAUUCGUUAUGUAAAGCUCUAUCAGCAGGGAAGAAAAUGACGGUACCUGAGUAAGCAGCCCCGGCUAACUACGUGCCAGCAGCCGCGGUAAUACGUAGGGGGCAAGCGUUAUCCGGAUUUACUGGGUGUAAAGGGAGCGUAGACGGUUGUGCAAGUCUGAAGUGAAAUGC